UCGUAACAAGGUUUCCGUAGGUGAACCUGCGGAAGGAUCAUUACCGAGUGUAGGGUUCCUAGCGAGCCCAACCUCCCACCCGUGUUUACUGUACCUUAGUUGCUUCGGCGGGCCCGCCAUUCAUGGCCGCCGGGGGCUCUCAGCCCCGGGCCCGCGCCCGCCGGAGACACCACGAACUCUGUCUGAUCUAGUGAAGUCUGAGUUGAUUGUAUCGCAAUCAGUUAAAACUUUCAACAAUGGAUCUCUUGGUUCCGGCAUCGAUGAAGAACGCAGCGAAAUGCGAUAACUAGUGUGAAUUGCAGAAUUCCGUGAAUCAUCGAGUCUUUGAACGCACAUUGCGCCCCCUGGUAUUCCGGGGGGCAUGCCUGUCCGAGCGUCAUUGCUGCCCAUCAAGCACGGCUUGUGUGUUGGGUCGUCGUCCCCUCUCCGGGGGGGACGGGCCCCAAAGGCAGCGGCGGCACCGCGUCCGAUCCUCGAGCGUAUGGGGCUUUGUCACCCGCUCUGUAGGCCCGGCCGGCGCUUGCCGAACGCAAAUCAAUCUUUUUCCA
RNAcentral lists this unclassified non-coding RNA (548 nucleotides) under Aspergillus flavus. RNAcentral describes it as "sequence contains 18S rRNA gene, ITS1, 5.8S rRNA gene, ITS2, 28S rRNA gene". The stretch from base 226 to 379 matches the Rfam family "5.8S ribosomal RNA". Lineage: Eukaryota; Fungi; Ascomycota; Eurotiomycetes; Eurotiales; Aspergillaceae. The record is from RNAcentral.